CUUGCCAGCAUACUCAGCUCAAAGCCCUAGUGCAGCAGACACCCUCCAGCAAGCUUUCACAGGGGUGCAGCAGUACACAGCGAUCUACCCAGCGGCCACCCUGACCCCCAUUGGACAGCCCAUCCCCCAGCCCCCCCCUCUCAUCCAGCAGCAGAGAGAAGG
Molecule: long non-coding RNA, 162 nt
Organism: Polyodon spathula (Mississippi paddlefish)
Lineage: Eukaryota; Metazoa; Chordata; Actinopteri; Acipenseriformes; Polyodontidae
Exons: 3
Source: RefSeq, a predicted model, not a curated record